This is a small nuclear RNA of Gorilla gorilla gorilla (western lowland gorilla), 101 nucleotides long. Lineage: Eukaryota; Metazoa; Chordata; Mammalia; Primates; Hominidae. The record is from Ensembl.
GUGCUCACUUCAACAGCAUAUAUGUAAAUGGGAACGGUGCAGAGAUGAGCAUGGCCCUAUGCAAGGAUGACACCCAAAUUCAUGAAGCCUUCCAUGUUUUU